This 492-nucleotide ribosomal RNA is filed under the name uncultured bacterium. RNAcentral's name for it is "partial 16S ribosomal RNA". It matches the Rfam family "Bacterial small subunit ribosomal RNA", at positions 30 to 507 of the family's 1533-position model. The record is from RNAcentral.
AUUGAACGCUGGCGGUAGGCCUAACACAUGCAAGUCGAACGGCAGCACAGUAAGAGCUUGCUCUUACGGGUGGCGAGUGGCGGACGGGUGAGGAAUACAUCGGAAUCUACUUUUUCGGGGGGGAUAACGUAGGGAAACUUACGCUAAUACCGCAUACGACCUACGGGUGAAAGCAGGGGAUCUUCGGACCUUGCGCGAUUGAAUGAGCCGAUGUCGGAUUAGCUAGUUGGCGGGGUAAAGGCCCACCAAGGCGACGAUCCGUAGCUGGUCUGAGAGGAUGAUCAGCCACACUGGAACUGAGACACGGUCCAGACUCCUACGGGAGGCAGCAGUGGGGAAUAUUGGACAAUGGGCGCAAGCCUGAUCCAGCCAUACCGCGUGUGUGAAGAAGGCCUUCGGGUUGUAAAGCCCUUUUGUUGGGAAAGAAAAGCAGAAGGUUAAUACCCCGCUGUUCUGACGGUACCCAAAGAAUAAGCACCGGCUAACUUCGUG